GGUAAUACGUAGGGUGCAAGCGUUAAUCGGAAUUACUGGGCGUAAAGCGUGCGCAGGCGGUUGUGUAAGUCAGAUGUGAAAUCCCCGGGCUCAACCUGGGAAUUGCAUUUGAGACUGCACGGCUAGAGUGUGUCAGAGGGGGGUAGAAUUCCACGUGUAGCAGUGAAAUGCGUAGAUAUGUGGAGGAAUACCGAUGGCGAAGGCAGCCCCCUGGGAUAACACUGACGCUCAUGCACGAAAGCGUGGGGAGCAAACAGGAUU
RNAcentral lists this ribosomal RNA (261 nucleotides) under Herbaspirillum huttiense. RNAcentral describes it as "partial 16S ribosomal RNA". It matches the Rfam family "Bacterial small subunit ribosomal RNA", at positions 519 to 779 of the family's 1533-position model. The record is from RNAcentral. Lineage: Bacteria; Pseudomonadati; Pseudomonadota; Betaproteobacteria; Burkholderiales; Oxalobacteraceae.